AGAGUUUGAUCCUGGCUCAGAUUGAACGCUGGCGGAAUGCUUUACACAUGCAAGUCGAACGGCAGCACGGGGCAACCUGGUGGCGAGUGGCGAACGGGUGAGUAAUACAUCGGAACGUGCCCAAUCGUGGGGGAUAACGUAGCGAAAGUUACGCUAAUACCGCAUACGAUCUACGGAUGAAAGCGGGGGAUCGCAAGACCUCGCGCGAAUGGAGCGGCCGAUGUCAGAUUAGGUAGUUGGUGGGGUAAAGGCUCACCAAGCCGACGAUCUGUAGCUGGUCUGAGAGGACGACCAGCCACACUGGGACUGAGACACGGCCCAGACUCCUACGGGAGGCAGCAGUGGGGAAUUUUGGACAAUGGGCGCAAGCCUGAUCCAGCCAUUCCGCGUGCAGGAUGAAGGCCUUCGGGUCGUAAACUGCUUUUGUACGGAACGAAACGGUUCUCUCUAAUACAGGGGGCUAAUGACGGUACCGUAAGAAUAAGCACCGGCUAACUACGUG
This 502-nucleotide ribosomal RNA is filed under the name uncultured bacterium. RNAcentral describes it as "bacterial SSU rRNA". It matches the Rfam family "Bacterial small subunit ribosomal RNA", at positions 8 to 507 of the family's 1533-position model. The record is from RNAcentral.